RNAcentral lists this ribosomal RNA (253 nucleotides) under uncultured Gardnerella sp. RNAcentral describes it as "partial 16S ribosomal RNA". It matches the Rfam family "Bacterial small subunit ribosomal RNA", at positions 103 to 355 of the family's 1533-position model. The record is from RNAcentral. Lineage: Bacteria; Bacillati; Actinomycetota; Actinomycetes; Bifidobacteriales; Bifidobacteriaceae.
CGGGUGAGUAAUGCGUGACCAACCUGCCCCAUGCUCCAGAAUAGCUCUUGGAAACGGGUGGUAAUGCUGGAUGCUCCAACUUGACGCAUGUCNUUGUUGGGAAAGUGUUUAGUGGCAUGGGAUGGGGUCGCGUCCUAUCAGCUUGUAGGCGGGGUAAUGGCCCACCUAGGCUUCGACGGGUAGCCGGCCUGAGAGGGCGGACGGCCACAUUGGGACUGAGAUACGGCCCAGACUCCUACGGGAGGCAGCAGCC